CGCGAUUCGCCCUUCGGGGUGCCCAGGCGCGAAAACUUUACAAUGCUGGAAACAGCGAUAAGGGGACCUCGAGUGCCAGGUUACAAAUCUGGCUGUCGUGAUGCCUAAAAAGCAUUGCAUAGCAAGGGCCGGGCAAGACCGGUGCCAGCCGCCGCGGUAACACCGGCGGCUCGAGUGGUAACCGUUAUUAUUGGGUCUAAAGGGUCUGUAGCCGGCCGGAUAAGUCUCUUGGGAAAUCCAGCAGCUCAACUGUUGGGCUUUCAGGAGAUACUGUCUGGCUCGAGGCCGGGAGAGGUGAGAGGUACUUCAGGGGUAGGGGUGAAAUCUUGUAAUCCUUGAAGGACCACCAGUGGCGAAGGCGUCUCACCAGAACGGACCUGACGGCAAGGGACGAAAGCUAGGGGCACGAACCGGAUUAGAUACCCGGGUAGUCCUAGCCGUAAACGAUACUCGCUAGGUGUCGGCCACGGUGCGACCGUUGUCGGUGCCGUAGGGAAGCCGUGAAGCGAGCCACCUGGGAAGUACGGCCGCAAGGCUGAAACUUAAAGGAAUUGGCGGGGGAGCAC
Molecule: ribosomal RNA, 566 nt
Filed under: uncultured archaeon
Lineage: Archaea
Description: bacterial SSU rRNA
Rfam family: Archaeal small subunit ribosomal RNA
Source: RNAcentral